RNAcentral lists this transfer RNA (74 nucleotides) under Candidatus Bathyarchaeota archaeon. Its description in RNAcentral is "tRNA-Val". It matches the Rfam family "tRNA". Rfam says of the family: Transfer RNA (tRNA) molecules are approximately 80 nucleotides in length. Their secondary structure includes four short double-helical elements and three loops (D, anti-codon, and T loops). Lineage: Archaea; Thermoproteati; Candidatus Bathyarchaeota. The record is from RNAcentral.
GGGCGCAUAACUCAGUUGGUUAGAGUGCCUCCCCUACAAGGAGGAAGUCGUAGGUUCGAGUCCUACUGUGCCCA